This is a long non-coding RNA of Phascolarctos cinereus (koala), 2382 nucleotides long. RefSeq lists it as uncharacterized. The record is from RefSeq and is a predicted model, not a curated record. Lineage: Eukaryota; Metazoa; Chordata; Mammalia; Diprotodontia; Phascolarctidae.
UAGCAAAACAGGAAGCAGUGGGUAGAAAUUGCAUGAGGCAAAUUUCAGCUUGAUAUGAGAAACCUACUUAAGAGCUGUUCAGAAAUGGAAUGGGCCACCUCAGGAGAUCAUCAACCCCAGAAGUCAACCCCAGAGCAGAGGAUGACCAAGCCCAGUUAGAAGCAAAGCCCUGAGCAACCUGCUUGACCCAAUGUAACAGGGAAUCGAAGGCACCCAAGAGAGAGUGGCUUUACUUAUCAAGUAUGCUGCAUUUGGAAGAAAUGGACUUUUGACUAGUUGCUGAGACAGAAAUGGAGGGAACCAGAUUCCCAAGACAAUUCUUACAAUAUGGCCCCUUUCUCUAACCACCUCCACCCCACCAGAAACAUGGGCUCUACCCUUGUUUCAUCAACUCUAAGAGGUGAGUGCCUGUAGGUGAGUGUGUCCACGCAUGCAGAAGGGCAUGCAUUUUAAUGAGGAUUGUGUGGGGCCGCUAGCGCCUCUCUGCUGUGCCUCGGAUAGCAACCUCCAGAAAGAGCUCCCUGGGACACUGACCAGGCUUGAUUAAAUGGUGGGGGUGGUCUGUUCUGGAAGAAUCCACUUCACAGAGGGGGCCUCCUUUGAAGAUUUCUACUGUUGUCAUCAGGGAGAAACAUGAAAACCCAGUCUAUUUCCCUGAGCCAUGCUCAGUGGCUCAGUAGCUAUGGUGAUCUCUCAUGUGAAGAAUCCCUCUACCACCCCACCCCCACCACACACACACACACACACACAACACACACACACACACACACACACACACACACACACACUUUCUUCAACUGGUCACCUCAGUCAAGAAAAUUUAUAUGACUGUUGUGGUCAGAGCAGAAUACUGUAUGUCAGGAGCUAAAAAAGGCAUAUCUCUUAAGAAUCUUAUGUCCAGGGAUUCUGGGGAGGCAGAAUCUAGAAGCAUUGGAAACAAGGGAAAACCAAAAGCCUUCUUCAGAAGAAGAGAUCAAGAGAAGAAAAACUAUGCUAGGUCACUGAGUACAUCAUGAGACAUAAUCACUACUAAUUGUUGUUGCUUAACUAUUUUUCUUAGUUGUAAUUGAGGGUUCAAUAGCAGGGGAGGGAGUGCUAUCAACCAAUCAACCAGUGAGCAUUUAUUAAGCAUCAGCUAUUUGCCAGGUACUGGGCUAGGUGGUGGAGAUCCAAAAACAGAAAUGAAACCACCCCUCUCCUUAAGGAGCUUACAGUCUAUUGAGGGAGACAGCAUGAACACACGUAAGAAAAUGUGUACAGAGAAAAUAUAAGGCAAUGGGAUAAGGGGGGAGCAGAUCAAGAAAGGACUCAUUUAAGAAGUGGGGCUUAGGAUAGAGCACCAGCCCAGAAGUCAGGAGGACCUGAUUUCAAAUAAGGCCUCAGAGCAGACACUUGACUCUUACUAGCUGUGUGACCUUGGGCAAGUCACUUACCUCUAAUUGCCUUUUUUAAAGAAAGUGAGACUUGAAAUGAGCUUGGGAGGAAUUUCAAGAUUCUAAGAGAUAGAGGUGAGGGGAAGCACAUCCAGAAAUGCCUGAAACUUUAAAAAAAAGGCAUUCACAAAAAAAAAAAAAUUAAAGUUAUGUUAAUGAGGAAUAAGAAAAAGAAAAAAAAAACUAGAAAAAAGCAAGGCCUCCUAGAAAAGGUGAGUCUUGAACCAGGUUCGGAAGUUAUCUUUGACUACUCUCUCUCUCUUCCAUCAAUCAAUCAACAAGCAUGUAUUUAGUACUCACUCUGUGCCAGGCAUUGUGCUAGUCCUAUAUCCAAUGAUAAGGUUCUGCUGCCUCUCCCUUCAAAAUGUCUCUCUUGUAUUGCUUUCCCACUGUCACCACAGGCACCCUUGAUCUGGGCCCUCACGACUUGACUAUAGGACUUCUGCAAUUGACUGUAAACUGGUUUUCAGGAUUCCUGUCUCUCUCUAAUUCUCAUCAAUCCUGCAUUCUGCUUCCAGAGCAAUUAUUCUAAAGUGCAGUAACCAUCAUGUCGAUCAACUACUCAAGAAACUUGUUGCUUAUUGGUAGAGCCAGCUCUAGGGUACUAAGGCAAGAUGACUGCCUUAAGGCCUAUUUAUCUCAAGAAACCUCUUCCUUGAACACUAACUUGAGAAGUACCUGCUAGGAAAAGAGGAAGAGGUCACUCCAAGUGAGCUAAGAAACGCCUGGGGCUCAUAACCUCUCAGUCCAUAAUCACCAAAGACUCUUCCUUCAGGAUUGAUCUCAGUGGACAUCUCGAGGAUGCCUUUUCUGACCCCCUCAGUUGCUAGCGACCCUCCCCCCAAUUAUUUUUUAGUUACUUCGUAUAUCUUAUGCAUUUACCUACCAGUGUUCUGUUGUUUUAGUUCCUGGCACACAGUAAACACUUAAUAAAUGCUUAUUGACUGGC